UGAGGAAUUUUCCGCAAUGGGCGAAAGCCUGACGGAGCGACGCCGCGUGUGGGAUGAAGUCCUUCGGGAUGUAAACCACUGUCAGCGGGGACGAUAUUGACAGUACCCGCAGAGGAAGGCCCGGCUAACUACGUGCCAGCAGCCGCGGUAAUACGUAGGGGCCAAGCGUUGUCCGGAAUCAUUGGGCGUAAAGGGCGCGUAGGCGGCUUAUUAAGUCGGAUGUUAAAUCCACAGGCUUAACCUGUGGCCGCAUCCGAUACUGAUGAGCUAGAGAGUGGUAGAGGAAAACGGAACUUUCGGUGUAGCGGUGAAAUGCGUAGAUAUCGAAAGGAACACCAGUGGCGAAGGCGGUUUUCUGGGCCAUUUCUGACGCUGAGGCGCGAAAGCCAGGGGAGCAAACGGG
This 403-nucleotide ribosomal RNA is filed under the name uncultured bacterium. RNAcentral describes it as "bacterial SSU rRNA". It matches the Rfam family "Bacterial small subunit ribosomal RNA", at positions 355 to 776 of the family's 1533-position model. The record is from RNAcentral.